Molecule: ribosomal RNA, 115 nt
Filed under: Danio rerio (zebrafish)
Lineage: Eukaryota; Metazoa; Chordata; Actinopteri; Cypriniformes; Danionidae
Source: RNAcentral
UCCCGCAGCUAGCUCUCUGCAACUCCUACAUGGUCGCCCACUGAAGUUGAGCAGGGUUGCCCUUGGUCAGUGCCUGGAUGGGAGACCACAUGGGAAAGCCAAGUUGCUGGCAGAU